AGGAACCUUCUAACAGCAGCUGAGGUUGGGCCACAGUGAUCCCUGGAUAGUGCCCUUGGAACCCAAGCAACACACGGACACUCUGAAUCAGGUAUGGGAGUUUCCUGGAGCAAGCUGGCAGAGAACUGGGAAAGAGAUCAUAUACAAUAAUACCUAAGGAGGAAGCUAACAGGCUUGGGUCUCCAGGAAAAACUUUUGCAGGUUAAGUUCCUUCUCUACGGUGGAGAUGAUCUUAUGAUGCUUACCGCUGCAAGCUGAGACACUGAACAUUACAAGUAACAGCAAUUCAAUGAGCUGACACAGGAGGUGUGGCACUUGGAGAACCUGGAUCAUGAAGCAGAGCAAGACCAGGAGAGGGC
This 359-nucleotide long non-coding RNA is filed under the name Homo sapiens (human). RNAcentral's name for it is "HSALNT0236022". Lineage: Eukaryota; Metazoa; Chordata; Mammalia; Primates; Hominidae. The record is from RNAcentral.